UAAGGAAUAUUGGACAAUGGGCGCAAGCCUGAUCCAGCCAUCCCGCGUGCAGGAAGACGGCCCUACGGGUUGUAAACUGCUUUUGUACAGGAAGAAACCCUUGGAUUUAUCUGAGGCUGACGGUACUGUAAGAAUAAGCACCGGCUAACUCCGUGCCAGCAGCCGCGGUAAUACGGAGGGUGCAAGCGUUAUCCGGAAUCACUGGGUUUAAAGGGUGCGUAGGUGGAUAUAUAAGUCAGAGGUGAAAGACUUGAGCUUAACUGAAGAAUUGCCUUUGAUACUGUAUAUCUUGAAUUAUGUUGAGGUUAGCGGAAUGAGUCAUGUAGCGGUGAAAUGCAUAGAUAUGACUUAGAACACCAAUUGCGAAGGCAGCUAGCUAGGCAUAUAUUGACGCUGAGGCACGAAAGCAUGGGGAGCGAACAGGAUUAGAUACC
Molecule: ribosomal RNA, 434 nt
Filed under: uncultured bacterium
Lineage: Bacteria
Description: bacterial SSU rRNA
Rfam family: Bacterial small subunit ribosomal RNA
Source: RNAcentral